GACGAACGCUGGCGGCGUGCCUAAUACAUGCCAGUAGAACGCUGAAGAGAGGAGCUUGCUCUUCUUGGAUGAGUUGCGAACGGGUGAGUAACGCGUAGGUAACCUGCCUUGUAGCGGGGGAUAACUAUUGGAAACGAUAGCUAAUACCGCAUAACAAUGGAUGACACAUGUCAUUUAUUUGAAAGGGGCAAUUGCUCCACUACAAGAUGGACCUGCGUUGUAUUAGCUAGUAGGUGAGGUAAUGGCUCACCUAGGCGACGAUACAUAGCCGACCUGAGAGGGUGAUCGGCCACACUGGGACUGAGACACGGCCCAGACUCCUACGGGAGGCAGCAGUAGGGAAUCUUCGGCAAUGGGGGGAACCCUGACCGAGCAACGCCGCGUGAGUGAAGAAGGUUUUCGGAUCGUAAAGCUCUGUUGUAAGUCAAGAACGGGUGUGAGAGUGGAAAGUUCACACUGUGACGGUAGCUUACCAGAAAGGGACGGCUAACUACGUG
RNAcentral lists this ribosomal RNA (497 nucleotides) under uncultured bacterium. RNAcentral's name for it is "partial 16S ribosomal RNA". It matches the Rfam family "Bacterial small subunit ribosomal RNA", at positions 28 to 507 of the family's 1533-position model. The record is from RNAcentral.